AUGCAAAUGGAAUAUCGAGGUCAACGAUACUCAAAUCUGAAGAGACCUGCAUUAGAAGAAAAAGGGAACAAGUUAAUCCCUCAUGAGAAAAUCUCUGUAACUUGUUGUAUCACCAUUCCUUUAAGAACUCUUACCCGGCUAAGAACCCUUCCUAGAGGUGUAGAAUCAAAAAAGGACAUUGGUGCAUGGAACAAUGAAUUGAGUAGCUGGGAAAAUAAGGAUCUUGAUGACUGGACCCCAAGAACAACGACUGUUAAAGAUCUUGAUAGCAAGAAGAUCAUUGUGCAAGCUCCGAUAAUAAUGUACACAGAAAUUAACUUCAGUGUGCUAACAUGA
RNAcentral lists this ribosomal RNA (336 nucleotides) under Triticum aestivum (bread wheat). Its description in RNAcentral is "partial small subunit ribosomal RNA". The record is from RNAcentral. Lineage: Eukaryota; Viridiplantae; Streptophyta; Magnoliopsida; Poales; Poaceae.